RNAcentral lists this ribosomal RNA (253 nucleotides) under uncultured bacterium. Its description in RNAcentral is "partial 16S ribosomal RNA". It matches the Rfam family "Bacterial small subunit ribosomal RNA", at positions 524 to 776 of the family's 1533-position model. The record is from RNAcentral.
UACGUAGGGUGCAAGCGUUAAUCGGAAUUACUGGGCGUAAAGCGUGCGCAGGCGGUCGUGCAAGACAGAUGUGAAAUCCCCGGGCUCAACCUGGGAACUGCAUUUGUGACUGCACGGCUGGAGUGCGGCAGAGGGGGAUGGAAUUCCGCGUGUAGCAGUGAAAUGCGUAGAUAUGCGAAGGAACACCGAUGGCGAAGGCAAUCCCCUGGGCCUGCACUGACGCUCAUGCACGAAAGCGUGGGGAGCAAACAGG